This 253-nucleotide ribosomal RNA is filed under the name uncultured bacterium. Its description in RNAcentral is "partial 16S ribosomal RNA". It matches the Rfam family "Bacterial small subunit ribosomal RNA", at positions 524 to 776 of the family's 1533-position model. The record is from RNAcentral.
UACGUAGGGUGCAAGCGUUAAUCGGAAUUACUGGGCGUAAAGCGUGCGCAGGCGGUUUUGUAAGACUGUCGUGAAAUCCCCGGGCUUAACCUGGGAAUGGCAUGGGAAACUGGCGGGCUGGAGUGUGGCAGAGGGGGGUGGAAUUCCGCGUGUAGCAGUGAAAUGCGUAGAGAUGCGGAGGAACACCGAUGGCGAAGGCAGCCCCCUGGGCUAACACUGACGCUCAGGCACGAAAGCGUGGGGAGCAAACAGG